CCUUAAUCUGCUAAAUAGUUGCAUUCACUUUGGUGGAUGAUCAACUUCUUAGAGAGACUAUGUACGUUUAGUACGUGGAAGUUUGAGGCAAUAACAGGUCUGUGAUGCCCUUAGAUGUUCUGGGCCGCACGCGCGCUACACUGACAAAGGCAGCAAGUAUCACCUUGGCCGGAAGGCCUGGGUAAUCUUUUGAAACUUUGUCGUGCUGGGGAUAGUCCCUUGCAAUUAUUGGACUUAAACGAGGAAUUCCUAGUAAGCGCAAGUCAUCAGCUUGCGUUGAUUACGUCCCUGCCCUUUGUACACACCGCCCGUCGCUACUACCGAUUGAAUGGCUUAGUGAGACCUCCGGAUCGGCGGUUUUGGAGCCGCGAGGCUUUGAGGCUGCUGAGAAGUUGGUCAAACUUGGUCAUUUAGAGGAAGUAAAAGUCG
RNAcentral lists this ribosomal RNA (429 nucleotides) under Chytridiomycota sp. RNAcentral describes it as "SSU rRNA". It matches the Rfam family "Eukaryotic small subunit ribosomal RNA", at positions 1341 to 1791 of the family's 1831-position model. The record is from RNAcentral. Lineage: Eukaryota; Fungi; Chytridiomycota.